Ictalurus punctatus (channel catfish) is the source of this 4410-nucleotide long non-coding RNA. Lineage: Eukaryota; Metazoa; Chordata; Actinopteri; Siluriformes; Ictaluridae. The record is from Ensembl.
CCCCACACACAUCUACAUACAGGAUCAGGUUGAAAUAGAUAAAACAAUGGUGUAUGUACAUGUUUUGGUUUUCUCCACUUAUGAGUCACUCAGUUCAAUAUCAAUCUGUCAUGCUAAAAAAGGGCUGAGUUGCAAAAUCGUACAGGAAAUAUGGUGCAUCACAAUAUCACUUUACAGCAUCGCAUGUGUAAUGGCUUGAACAUUGCUUCAAGUGGUCCAGAGAGAUCACUCUCAGCCAGGGGAGUAGCCAGGAGUUAAUUUCAAGAGGCGGGUGGAAAUGUACUAUACAACAUUAUAUUGUGAAAUGUGACAUGCUCAUGCUUUUUGGGUGGAUGCCGGACAGUAGGAGUAGGGGAAGCAUGCAUGAUUCUGAUUGGUUAAAUCUGGUGCUCGCAAUAGCAUUAAAAUGUUAAUAAACAAACUCAGGCUAUUUGAGUAUGAAAUUGUAAUGGAAUCUUUUAUGAACAUCAUUACAUACAACAUAACUUGAUGCGUAUAUAUAUUCAGUUAUAAGCACCCACAAGUAAGCAUUUGGAACUGAUAUAAAAUAUUUCAGGGGGGUUCAAACCCAAAAUCCAGCCCUCUAGCGACGCCUCAGCUCUCAGUCAACAUCAGUUUAUUAAAAGCACUGCUUUCUCUCUUUUAUACCUGUUUUUUCUUAACAAAAGGAGGCUUAGGCUACUUAUGCAUGUGAUUUGUGAGAUCAAAUCGUAGCCAGGUGUCUGAAAGAGAGCAUUACUGUCCGGCUCGCUGUGUGGGAACGACAGCCUUUCUCCCUCGACCUGUCAAUCAGUGUGACAUGAGGAAACUUGUUCAACUUCACCCUCUCUGAAUGGUAGCUGUGAGACUGGCUAUGACUGAACUGGAGAAGAAAAUUCCCGUUUUUCCAGUUCCCGUUAUUCAUGUUCCUGUUUUACAUGUUAUAGAACAGAGAUUGAUUAAUGGCACAUGUCAUUACGUCCCCACACCACGCCAUCCGACGUUCCCUCCAGAAUUUCGAAAUACAGUUCGUCUUCGUUAUGGUACCGUAUACAGUUUUGGGUGUUUUUUAUUUAAAAUUUUACAAAAGCUUCAAGUGCAGUUAAUUAUUUGUCAUGCUAUACGUGCAAUUGGACGACUGCUUGAAGCCGUGGGCUGCGUCCAAAACCACGUACUUACCUGCUAUAUAGUAGCUGAGAUACAUGUAUUUCACCUACUAUAUGCAUGUAUUUCACCUACUAUUUAGUAGGUGAAAUACUUGUAUAUAGUAGGUGAAAUACUUGUAUAUAGCAGGUGAAAUACAUGUAUAUAGUAGGUGAAAUACAAGUUUUUUGGCUACGAUAUAGUAGGUGAAAUACUUGUAUAUAGUAGAAUAAGUGUAUAUAGUAGGUAAAAUACAUGAAUAUAGUAGGUGAAAUACAUGUAUAUAGUAGGUGAAAUACAUGUAAGUAGUAGGUGAAAUACAUGUAUAUAGUAGAAUACGUGUAUAUAGUAGGUGAAAUACACAUGUUUUGGCUACUAUAUAGUAGGUGAAAUACAUGUAUGUAGUACAAUACGUGUAUAUAGUAGGUGAAAUACUUGUACAUAGUAGGUGAAAUACAUGUAUAUAGUAGAAUACGUGUAUAUAGUUGGUGAAAUACUUGUAUAUAUUAGGUGAAAUACACGUAUUUCGGCUACAAUAUAGUAGAUGAAAUACAUGUAUAUGGUAGAAUACAUGUAUAUAGUAGGUGAAAUACAUGUAUAUAGUAGAAUACGUGUAUAUAGUAGGUGAAAGACAUGUAUAUAGUAGAAUACGUGUAUAUAGUAGGUGAAAGACAUGUAUAUAGUAGGUGAAAUACGUGUAUAUAGUUGGUGAAAUACUUGUAUAUAUUAGGUGAAAUACACGUAUUUCGGCUACAAUAUAGUAGGUGAAAUACAUGUAUAUGGUAGAAUACAUGUAUAUAGUAGGUGAAAUACAUGUAUACAGUAGGUGAAAUACAUGUAUAUAGUGGAAUACGUGUAUAUAGUAGGUGAAAUACACGUUUUUUGGUUACGAUAUAGUAGAUGAAAUACAUGUAUAUGGUAGAAUACAUGUAUAUAGUAGGUGAAAUACAUGUAUAUAGUAGAAUACGUGUAUAUAGUAGGUGAAAUACAUGUAUAUAGUAGGUGAAACACACGUAUUUCAGCUACGAUAUAGUAGGUGAAAUACAUGUAUAUGGUAGAAUAUAUGUAUAUAGUAGGUGAAAUACAUGUAUACAGUAGGUGAAAUACAUGUAUAUAGUAGGUGAAAUACACGUUUUUUGGUUACGAUAUAGUAGGUGAAAUACAUGUAUAUAGUAGAAUACGUGUAUAUAGUAGGUGAAAGACAUGUAUAUAGUAGGUGAAAUACGUGUAUAUAGUUGGUGAAAUACUUGUAUAUAUUAGGUGAAAUACAUGUAUAUAGUAGGUGAAAUACAUGUAUAUAGUAGAAUACAUGUAUAUAGUAGGUGAAAGACAUGUAUAUAGCAGGUGAAAUACAUGUAUAUAGUAGGUGAAAUACACGUAUUUCGGCUACGAUAUAGUAGGUGAAAUACAUGUAUAUAGUAGAAUACAUGUAUAUAGUAGGUAAAAUACAUGUAUAUAGUGGAAUACGUGUAUAUAGUAGGUGAAAUACAUGUAUAUAGUAGGUGAAACACACGUAUUUCGGCUACGAUAUAGUAGGUGAAAUACAUGUAUAUGGUAGAAUACAUGUAUAUAGUAGGUAAAAUACAUGUAUAUAGUAGAAUACGUGUAUAUAGUAGAAUACGUGUAUAUAGUAGGUGAAAUACACAUAUUUCGGCUACGAUAUAGUAGGUGAAAUACAUGUAUAUAGUAGAAUACGUGUAUAUAGUAGGUGAAAUAUAUGUAAGCAAUAGGUGAAAUACAUGCAUAUAGUAGGUGAAACACACGUAUUUCAGCUACGAUAUAGUAGGUGAAAUACAUGUAUAUGGUAGAAUACAUGUAUAUAGUAGGUAAAAUACAUGUAUAUAGUAGAAUACGUGUAUAUAGUAGAAUACGUGUACAUAGUAGGUGAAAUACAUGUAUAUAGUAGAAUACGUGUAUAUAGUAGGUGAAAUACACGUAUUUCGGCUACGAUAUAGUAGGUGAAAUACAUGUAUAUAGUAGAAUACAUGUAUAUAGUAGGUGAAAUAUAUGUAAGCAAUGGGUGAAAUACAUGCAUAUAGUAGGUGAAACACGUAUUUCAGCUACGAUAUAGUAGGUGAAAUACAUGUAUAUAGUAAAAUACAUGUAUAUAGUAGGUGAAAUACUUGUAUAUAGUAGGUCAAAUACUUGUAUAUAGUAGAAUACGUGUAUAUAGUAGGUGAAAUACAUGUAUAUAGUAGGUGAAAUACAUGUAAGUAAUAGGUGAAAUACAUGUAUAUAGUAGGUGAAACACACGUAUUUCAGCUACGAUAUAGUAGGUGAAAUACAUGUAUAUAGUAGGUGAAAUACAUGUAUAUGGUAGAAUACGUGUAUAUAGUAUGUGAAAUACAUGUAUAUAGUAGGUGAAAAACUUGUAUAUAGUAGAAUACGUGUAUAUAGUAGGUGAAAUACAUGUAUAUAGUAGGUGAAAUACACGUAUUUCGGCUACGAUAUAGUAGGUGAAAUACAUGUAUAUGGUAGAAUACAUGUAUAUAGUAGGUAAAAUACAUGUAUAUAGUAGAAUACGUGUAUAUAGUAGGUGAAAUACAUGUAUAUAGUAGGUGAAAUACACGUAUUUCGGCUACGAUAUAGUAGGUGAAAUACAUGUAUAUAGUAGAAUACAUGUAUAUAGUAGGUGAAAUACAUGUAUAUAGUAGGUGAAAUACUUGUAUAUUAGGUGAAAUACUUGUAUAUGCAAGCAUUUCACUUGCUAUAUACAAGUAUCUCGUCAGCAAAAACUUCCCCAUAUCAACAGAUACACGUUCUGUAAAGCCGUUUAUGUGGAGUGUCUAGCCUACAAAUCCCUGCGCAGAUUGUAUCUAAAGAAACAGUGACAAUCUACAGCAAUAAUAUAAACCUGUAAUUUGCCUUGUAGCCCGAGCUACUGUCAAAGCUGCGGUUAUAGAAAAUAAAUCUCAACACCUUCCGACCAAUCGGAUUUGAGAUUUCGACAGGGCUAUAAUAAUGUAAUAAUAAUCAGGUUUCGUCGUGUGUCUUAGUAAUGAUAUAUCGACUCAGCCCUAGUUCGGUUUUCCGUUUUCGUUUAAUGCUCUUAGCAUACCAGUGUGGUUCAUUAUAAUGUGCCAUCCAAACACUGUCAUAAAGUUUUUGGCUAUGGAUGGCUCACAGCACUGGGAAGUGAUGUGUAUGUGUGUGUGUGUGUAUGUGUGUGUGUGUGUGUGUUAAUUAGAGGUCGUGCAGGGAGAGAGGCUUGAGAUUCCACACACUCAAGGCCUCUGAAUCAAACAACCUGGUGCUUUUUGGUGGUUUUUUUUGCACUUUCAUGCCAAC